This is a small nuclear RNA of Aethalodelphis obliquidens (Pacific white-sided dolphin), 107 nucleotides long. Lineage: Eukaryota; Metazoa; Chordata; Mammalia; Artiodactyla; Delphinidae. The record is from RefSeq and is a predicted model, not a curated record.
GGGCUCGCUGCGGCAGCACAUGCACUAAAGUUGGAACGAUACAGACGAGAUUAGCGUGGCCCCCGCGCAGGGACGACACGCAAAUGCGUGAAGAGUUCCCUAUUUUU